RNAcentral lists this transfer RNA (73 nucleotides) under Aesopia cornuta. Its description in RNAcentral is "tRNA-Val". It matches the Rfam family "tRNA". Rfam says of the family: Transfer RNA (tRNA) molecules are approximately 80 nucleotides in length. The record is from RNAcentral. Lineage: Eukaryota; Metazoa; Chordata; Actinopteri; Pleuronectiformes; Soleidae.
CAGAGUGUAGCUAAGAUAAGAAUAGCAUCUCCCUUACACUGAGAAGUCAUUCGUGCAAACCGAAUUACCCUGA